GACGAACGCUGGCGGCGUGCUUAACACAUGCCAGUCGAACGGAAAGGCCCUGCUUUUGUGGGGUGCUCGAGUGGCGAACGGGUGAGUAACACGUGAGUAACCUGCCCUUGACUUUGGGAUAACUUCAGGAAACUGGGGCUAAUACCGGAUAGGAGCUCCUGUUGCAUGGUGGGGGUUGGAAAGUUUCGGCGGUUGGGGAUGGACUCGCGGCUUAUCAGCUUGUUGGUGGGGUAGUGGCUUACCAAGGCUUUGACGGGUAGCCGGCCUGAGAGGGUGACCGGCCACAUUGGGACUGAGAUACGGCCCAGACUCCUACGGGAGGCAGCAGUGGGGAAUAUUGCACAAUGGGCGGAAGCCUGAUGCAGCAACGCCGCGUGCGGGAUGACGGCCUUCGGGAUGUAAACCGCUUUCGCCUGUGACGAAGCGUGAGUGACGGUAAUGGGUAAAGAAGCACCGGCUAACUACGUG
RNAcentral lists this ribosomal RNA (468 nucleotides) under uncultured bacterium. RNAcentral's name for it is "partial 16S ribosomal RNA". It matches the Rfam family "Bacterial small subunit ribosomal RNA", at positions 28 to 507 of the family's 1533-position model. The record is from RNAcentral.